Danio rerio (zebrafish) is the source of this 593-nucleotide non-coding RNA. The record is from RefSeq and is a predicted model, not a curated record. Lineage: Eukaryota; Metazoa; Chordata; Actinopteri; Cypriniformes; Danionidae.
CAGCAUUAUGUUAUAAACGUGCAAAGAAAAGAAGAAAAGGUAUAUGUCUAAACUUCUUUGCCAUCUCACCAUCCUUUAUUAUUCUUUCUUUCUCCCUUUCCUGAUCAGGGUAAAGUAACGGCAUAUUUUAAUGCUGAGGAAAAUCAAUGCCUCCAGCCCAUUGCCAAUAUAACAGCAAACAGCGCCAUCUUACAGAUCUGCCCUACAGGACUUGAAUGCCACCUCGUUUGCUUCAGUCUCGGUGUCCAUGAAAAGAAGCCAUGCUUUUGUAAUUCCACUGCAAAAACACACCCUGAAGGGGGUUCUUCUAUCUGGAACACUGGUGUUGUGAUUGGAGCAUGUGUGUGUGGACUGUUGGUGAUUAUCAUGAUCACCAGCGUUGCAUGUUAUAUGAAAAAUCGAGGUCCUGGAUAUACUACUUGUGAUGCUGAAGUUUGAUUCUGGAAAUCCUUGCACCUCUCCUGGACGUCUCAUCUUUAUCAUGCCAUUAUUAUGUCAUGGUUAUACCUACAUUUAUAUAGCAUUGGCUGUAUUAUUCGGUUUGUGUUAGCCGCUUUUAGAACCUCAGGACUUUAUAAUCUUAGGAUUCAUUU